GGCCGACUAGCUCAGUUGGUUAGAGCGUGGUGCUAAUAUUUCGAAGACUGCCGGUGUGCAACGCCAAGGUCGUCGGUUCAAUCCCGGCGUUGGCCA
This is a non-coding RNA of Rhodofomes roseus, 96 nucleotides long. The record is from the annotation of a RefSeq genome assembly. Lineage: Eukaryota; Fungi; Basidiomycota; Agaricomycetes; Polyporales; Fomitopsidaceae.